CCCCUAGAUGUUCUGGGCCGCACGCGCGCUACACUGAACAGUUCAACAAGUCUUAACCUUGGCCGAUAGGUCUGGGUAAUCUUUGAACGCUGUUCGUGACUGGGAUAGACCUUUGCAAUUAUGGGUCUUCAACGAGGAAUUCCUAGUAAACGCAAGUCAUCAGCUUGCAUUGAUUACGUCCCUGCCCUUUGUACACACCGCCCGUCGCACCUACCGAUUGAAUGGUCCGGUGAAAUCUCGGGACGGCGGCUUGGUCGCUUGCGUCCGACUGCUGAAACUUGAUUAAACCAUAUCAUUUAGAGGAAGGUGAAGUCGUNACA
RNAcentral lists this ribosomal RNA (320 nucleotides) under uncultured eukaryote. Its description in RNAcentral is "partial 18S ribosomal RNA". It matches the Rfam family "Eukaryotic small subunit ribosomal RNA", at positions 1470 to 1796 of the family's 1831-position model. The record is from RNAcentral.